AGCGAACGCUGGCGGCAGGCCUAAAACAUGCAAGUCGAACGCCGUAGCAAUACGGAGUGGCAGACGGGUGAGUAACACGUGGGAACGUACCCUUUGGUUCGGAACAACACAGGGAAACUUGUGCUAAUACCGGAUAAGCCCUUACGGGGAAAGAUUUAUCGCCAGAGGAUCGGCCCGCGUCUGAUUAGCUUGUUGGUGAGGUAACGGCUCACCAAGGCUACGAUCAGUAGCUGGUCUGAGAGGAUGAUCAGCCACACUGGGACUGAGACACGGCCCAGACUCCUACGGGAGGCAGCAGUUAGGAAUCUUGGACAAUGGGCGCAAGCCUGAUCCAGCCAUGCCGCGUGAGUGAUGAAGGCCUUAGGGUUGUAAAGCUCUUUCAGCGGGGAAGAUAAUGACGGUACCCGCAGAAGAAGCCCCGGCUAACUUCGU
RNAcentral lists this ribosomal RNA (432 nucleotides) under uncultured bacterium. RNAcentral describes it as "bacterial SSU rRNA". It matches the Rfam family "Bacterial small subunit ribosomal RNA", at positions 29 to 506 of the family's 1533-position model. The record is from RNAcentral.